Molecule: long non-coding RNA, 401 nt
Filed under: Manacus vitellinus (golden-collared manakin)
Lineage: Eukaryota; Metazoa; Chordata; Aves; Passeriformes; Pipridae
Description: lncRNA (ENSMVIG00005014650.1)
Source: RNAcentral
AAGUACCAUGUAGGGUCAUGCAACAGGGAAGCUCCACUUGAAUCACUGUAGAGGACUUUCUGGACACCAAACUAUUAGGUUUUUUUCUGUCCUUCUGUCAGAUAUUCAGUUCCCUCUGCUCCAUACCCCUAAAAGCUGCCCAAAGAAGGAUUUUUCUUUAUUUUUUUUUUCCAGCAUAUUGCAGCAAUUUGAGGAACUGGUAGCCCCUGUGACAGAGCCCUACAGAAAUGUGACCAAAAAAAGGUAUCUCUGCCCUGAGCCAUUUCAAAUGGCUCUGCAAGUCAGGACCACUGAGGAGUCAAAUAUGCUGCACAGAACUUGAAGAUGGUGUUGGUCCAUACCCAGCAGGGAGAAUCUCAGUGUCCUGCAGCCACUACAAGAUGUCCAUCUCCAUGGUAAGU